Erinaceus europaeus (western European hedgehog) is the source of this 412-nucleotide long non-coding RNA. RefSeq lists it as uncharacterized. The transcript has 3 exons. The record is from RefSeq and is a predicted model, not a curated record. Lineage: Eukaryota; Metazoa; Chordata; Mammalia; Eulipotyphla; Erinaceidae.
GUUGCUUCCAGGUUUGGGGUUAAAUGCCUAUUGUACUAUGUACAAGGACCAGUGUAAGGAACCGAGUUCGAGCCCCUGCUCCCCACCUGAAGCUGGAUGCUCUACGAGAGGUGAAGCAGGUCUUCAGAUGGAGGAUCUGCCAUCAAGGACCUCAGUGCACUUUACAAAUGUCAUGAAUCAUCAAAGCCCUUCUGUAAUGGAGAGCUUCAUACUGACACUGUGAGCAAGAAAGUCAAAUCAACUAAGGUAGUCCGAAGUUGUAUCACUGCUGUCACCGUUUCAUUCUUCUUGACAAUAUAGAGAAAUCAAGUCAAAAUUCCUUCAAGUUUGGAGUUCCUAAGCAAAACAUUUAAGAAAACAACACCCUUCAAGUCCUUUGUUUUCUUAGGAAAUUAUGCCACAUUAACUGCUC